CAUCCCUAUGAUGAAUUAUUCAAAUUAAAAGUAGUGGCCUGAAAAUCACUUGAUGAAAAAAUGGAUUUUGAGGGAUG
Molecule: non-coding RNA, 77 nt
Organism: Morus notabilis
Lineage: Eukaryota; Viridiplantae; Streptophyta; Magnoliopsida; Rosales; Moraceae
Source: Rfam